This 253-nucleotide ribosomal RNA is filed under the name uncultured bacterium. RNAcentral describes it as "partial 16S ribosomal RNA". It matches the Rfam family "Bacterial small subunit ribosomal RNA", at positions 524 to 776 of the family's 1533-position model. The record is from RNAcentral.
CACGUAGGGCGCAAGCGUUGUCCGGAAUCACUGGGCUUAAAGCGUGUGUAGGCGGAUCGGUAAGUCCCUUGUGAAAUCCCACGGCUUAACCGUGGAACUGCUUGGUAUACUGCCAGUCUUGAGCCAUCUAGGGGCUACCGGAACAAAUGGUGGAGCGGUGAAAUGCGUAGAUAUCAUGUGGAACGCCAAUGGUGAAGACAGGUAUCUGGGGAUGUGCUGACGCUGAGACACGAAAGCCAGGGGAGCAAACGGG